RNAcentral lists this long non-coding RNA (253 nucleotides) under Brassica napus (rape). Its description in RNAcentral is "long non-coding RNA (BNAP_LNC005430)". The record is from RNAcentral. Lineage: Eukaryota; Viridiplantae; Streptophyta; Magnoliopsida; Brassicales; Brassicaceae.
AUUUAGGGUUCAGAUAUUCAAGAAGGAUUAGCUUAAAAUAUAGAAUUUCUAAGUGUUAGGAUAUCCAUAAAUUAGACUGUUCGUAUUGCAUGUUUUCUAAAGUAGCUAACUAAGAACUUGCCUAUAGAUUGGAAUCUUCCUGCAAGUCUGGAAGGUAUUAGACUUAGUGUCCCUGGUUUUCUUUCCACCUCUCUUUGGCAUCCAUAUAUAUUUACGAAAGAUUGAAAUAAUUUCUUGCGGUGUAGAGGGGUAG